UGAGUACGAGCUGCUACGGCAGCGAAGUGGGUGAUGUCAAGCUUCCAAGAAAAGCCCUAUACCCGUUAAGGCAUGACGGCCUGUACCCGAAACCGACACAGGUGGGGUGGUAGAGAAUACCGAGGGGCGCGAGAUAACUCUCUCUAAGGAACUCGGCAAAAUGGCCCCGUAACUUCGGGAGAAGGGGUGCCACCGCAAGGUGGUCGCAGUGAAGAGGCCCAGGCGACUGUUUACCAAAAACACAGGUCUCCGCUAAGUCGCAAGACGAUGUAUGGGGGCUGACGCCUGCCCAGUGCCGGAAGGUUAAGGAAGCUGGUCAGCGCAAGCGAAGCUAGCGACUGAAGCCCCGGUGAACGGCGGCCGUAACUAUAACGGUCCUAAGGUAGCGAAAUUCCUUGUCGGGUAAGUUCCGACCCGCACGAAAGGCGUAACGAUCUGGGCGCUGUCUCGGAGAGAGGCUCGGCGAAAUAGAAUUGUCUGUGAAGAUGCGGACUACGUGCACCCGGACAGAAAGACCCUAUGAAGCUUUACUGUAGCUUGGUAUUGUGCCCGGGCUCUGAAUGCGCAGGAUAGGUGGGAGGCUUUGAUCCAUUGCUUGUGGGUAAUGGUGAGCCACUGGUGAGAUACCACUCUUUCAGAGCUAGGGUUCUAACGGUCACCCGUUAUCCGGGGACCGGACAGUAUCAGGUGGGCAGUUUGACUGGGGCGGUCGCCCCCUAAAAGGUAACGGAGGCGCGCAAAGGUUCCCUCAGGCUGGUUGGAAAUCAGCCGACGAGUGUAAAGGCAGAAGGGAGCUUGACUGUGAGACCUACAAGUCGAACAGGGACGAAAGUCGGCCUUAGUGAUCCGACGGUUCUGAGUGGAAGGGCCGUCGCUCAACGGAUAAAAGUUACUCUAGGAUAACAGGCUGAUCUCCCCCAAGAGUUCACAUCGACGGGGAGGUUUGGCACCUCGAUGUCGGCUCAUCGCAACCUGGGGCUGAAGUCGGUCCCAAGGGUUGGGCUGUUCGCCCAUUAAAGCGGUACGCGAACUGGGUUCAGAACGUCGUGAGACAGUUCGGUCCAUAUCCGGUGCACGCGCAGGAACAUUGAGAGGAUUUCUCCCUAGUACGAGAGGACCGGGAGGAACGCACCUCUGGUGUACCAGUUAUCGUGCCAACGGUAAACGCUGGGUAGCCAUGUGCGGAGCGGAUAACCGCUGAAAGCAUCUAAGUGGGAAGCCCACCUCAAGAUGAGUGUUCCCAUGGCAUAAGCCAGUAAGGUCACGGGAAGAACACCCGUUGAUAGGCUCUACGUGGAAGCGUGGCAACACGUGAAGCGGAGGAGUACUAAUAGACCGAGGGCUUGAC
Molecule: ribosomal RNA, 1348 nt
Filed under: metagenome
Description: bacterial LSU rRNA
Rfam family: Bacterial large subunit ribosomal RNA
Source: RNAcentral